UAUGGCUAUUUUCCAGAUACGUUUUUAUUACAUUUACUACAUCUACAAUUUACAUUAUUUGAAUAUUUGAAUGCAUAGAUACAAUGAGAUAGACUGAUUGCAUGCGUUCAAAUCACUCAUAACUAACAUAAUCAGAAAUUAUAUAGUCAACUUUAUUCCGGAGGCGAAAUUCGGCGUAGUUUUUCAACCAAUCCCUCAACAAAUUGCAGCUCUUCUUUGCUGUACGAAGGGUGGCAUGACUGCAUAGCUUCCAACAAGAGCUCGCCCCGUUUGACAGCCUCUGGGGGGCAAGCCUCUUCCAUAGUCCUCAGGCUCUCUUCGAGAGAGAGAUCCUUUAAUUCUACACCCAGUUCAUCCGCCAUUGACUGCAGCGAUCUUUUUCUGUUUCUGCUGGAAGUCGAGUAUAGACUGUGCUACAAAGUGGAAGCAUGCGAUAAAGAAUUUAAAAUUGUUAUUCGCGAGUUAUUUGACGAAUUUUUAAACCUUUUUAUCGGACAACUACCAGGUUUGCGUGCCUUUUUUAACCCUACAAUAACCAACCUCCUUGUCGGGACCUCGCAAGCAUAUUAUCUGGAGCUGCAAAUGAUCAAACAGCGAGGGAAACAACUCCUCAAAAUUUCCGAAGAUCUGGACCUCCAAAUCCACGGAGGAUUUUGAUGCAAUAUGCAUUUAGCAUUAGCAGCUUUAGGCUCAAUUUCAACUUUAUCCCUCUAUAUGCAAAAUAUUUGCAAGCAUUUGAACCAUCAGUUGAGAUUCAGGACAAUCUUACGUUUUGGUCUGCAGACGUUUCCUCAAAAAUUAUUUUUUUCUCAAAGUGGUACCGCUAGAAAUUUUAUUUUAACACAGUUUAACAGACAUAACUGGACUUUAGGUUCACGAAAAAUGUCAACUUUAUCCCUGAAAAUGAAAAAUAUUGACCAGCAAAAUAUUGAUUUGCAGACGUAKYCUCAAAAACUAUUUUUGCCCAAAGUUGUACAGRUAGAAACUUGCUUUUCAGUCAGUUUAAUAGGCAAAACUUGGAUUUAGGCUUAGUAAAAAUUUCAACCUUAUCCCUCGAUAUGCCAAAUAUUUAGAAACAUUUGAACCAUCAGUUAAGAUUGAGGACAAUCUUACGGUUUGGUCUGCAGACGUUUCUUCAAAAAUUAUUUUUUCCCAAAGUUGUACCGCUAGAAAUUUUAUUUUAACACAGUUUAACAGACAAAACUAGGCUUUAGGUUUACGAAAAAUGUCAACUUUAUCCCUGAAUAUGCAAAAUAUUGACCAGUAAAAUAUUGAUUUGCAGACGUA
Molecule: long non-coding RNA, 1287 nt
Organism: Dendroctonus ponderosae (mountain pine beetle)
Lineage: Eukaryota; Metazoa; Arthropoda; Insecta; Coleoptera; Curculionidae
Exons: 2
Source: RefSeq, a predicted model, not a curated record